CGCGUAGGCGGCCUUUUAAGUCGGAUGUGAAAGCCCGGGGCCUAACCCCGGAAGUGCAUUCGAUACUGAGAGGCUUGAGUAUGGGAGAGGGAAGUGGAAUUCCUGGUGUAGAGGUGAAAUUCGUAGAUAUCAGGAGGAACACCCGUGGCGAAGGCGACUUCCUGGACCAAUACUGACGCUGAGGCGCGAAGGCGUGGGGAGCAAACA
Molecule: ribosomal RNA, 207 nt
Filed under: uncultured bacterium
Lineage: Bacteria
Description: partial 16S ribosomal RNA
Rfam family: Bacterial small subunit ribosomal RNA
Source: RNAcentral